RNAcentral lists this long non-coding RNA (459 nucleotides) under Coturnix japonica (Japanese quail). Its description in RNAcentral is "lncRNA (ENSCJPG00005001800.1)". Lineage: Eukaryota; Metazoa; Chordata; Aves; Galliformes; Phasianidae. The record is from RNAcentral.
GACCCUAUAGAACCCCACAGAACCCCAUAGGACCCCCAUAGGGCCCCCAUAGGGACCCUAUAGAACCCCACAGGACCCCACAGGACCCUAUAGAACCCCAUGGGACCCCCACAGAACCCCAUAGGACCCCCAUAGAACCCCAUAGGACCCCACAGGACCCCAUAGAACCCUAUAGGACCCUAUAGAACCCCAUAGGACCCCCAUAGGACCCCAUAGGACCCUAUAGGACCCCACAGGACCCCAUAGAACCCCAUAGGACCCCAUAGACCCACAGCACCCCAUAGGUCUCAGCUGUGCUUGCUGUGCUGGCAGUUGAGCAGCUCCGCGAAGCGCUGCAGCCGCAUGUUGGGUCCACAUCAUCACCCCUGGUCCCAUAUAAACCCCAUAGGGACCCCAUGGGACCCUAUAGAACCCCAUAGGUCCCCACAGGACCCUAUAGAACCCCAUAGGACCCCAUAG